This 963-nucleotide ribosomal RNA is filed under the name Hypomyces xyloboli. RNAcentral describes it as "eukaryotic LSU rRNA". It matches the Rfam family "Eukaryotic large subunit ribosomal RNA", at positions 1 to 964 of the family's 3401-position model. Lineage: Eukaryota; Fungi; Ascomycota; Sordariomycetes; Hypocreales; Hypocreaceae. The record is from RNAcentral.
ACGCCGUAAAACACCCAACUUCCGAAAGGUUGACCUCGGAUCAGGUAGGAAUACCCGCUGAACUUAAGCAUAUCAAUAAGCGGAGGAAAAGAAACCAACAGGGAUUGCCCCAGUAACGGCGAGUGAAGCGGCAACAGCUCAAAUUUGAAAUCUGGUCCCCAGGGCCCGAGUUGUAAUUUGCAGAGGAUGCUUUUGGCGAGGCACCGCCCGAGUUCCCUGGAACGGGACGCCACAGAGGGUGAGAGCCCCGUCUGGCUGGAUGCCGAGCCUCUGUAAAGCUCCUUCGACGAGUCGAGUAGUUUGGGAAUGCUGCUCUAAAUGGGAGGUAUAUGUCUUCUAAAGCUAAAUAUUGGCCAGAGACCGAUAGCGCACAAGUAGAGUGAUCGAAAGAUGAAAAGCACUUUGAAAAGAGGGUUAAACAGUACGUGAAAUUGUUGAAAGGGAAGCGCUCAUGACCAGACUUGGGCUUGGCGAAUCAUCCGGCGUUCUCGCCGGUGCACUUCGCCUCGCCCAGGCCAGCAUCAGUUCGCCUCGGGGGACAAAGGCUCUGGGAACGUGGCUCCUCCGGGAGUGUUAUAGCCCACUGCGCAAUACCCUGCGGCGGACUGAGGUUCGCGCAUCUGCAAGGAUGCUGGCGUAAUGGUCAUCAGCGACCCGUCUUGAAACACGGACCAAGGAGUCGUCUUCGUAUGCGAGUGUUCGGGUGUAAAACCCCUACGCGUAAUGAAAGUGAACGCAGGUGAGAGCUUCGGCGCAUCAUCGACCGAUCCUGAUGUUCUCGGAUGGAUUUGAGUAAGAGCAUACGGGGCCGGACCCGAAAGAAGGUGAACUAUGCCUGUAUAGGGUGAAGCCAGAGGAAACUCUGGUGGAGGCUCGCAGCGGUUCUGACGUGCAAAUCGAUCGUCAAAUAUGGGCAUGGGGGCGAAAGACUAAUCGAACCUUCUAGUAGCUGGUUUCCGCCGA